This is a small nuclear RNA of Manis javanica (Malayan pangolin), 107 nucleotides long. Lineage: Eukaryota; Metazoa; Chordata; Mammalia; Pholidota; Manidae. The record is from RefSeq and is a predicted model, not a curated record.
GUACUCACUUCAGCAGCACAUACACUAAAAUUGGAACAAGACAGAGAAGAUUAGCAUGGCCUCUGUGCAAGGAUGAUAUGCAAAUUCAUGAAAUAUUCCUAUUUUUU